RNAcentral lists this long non-coding RNA (1151 nucleotides) under Nicotiana benthamiana. RNAcentral describes it as "long non-coding RNA (NBEN_LNC026105)". Lineage: Eukaryota; Viridiplantae; Streptophyta; Magnoliopsida; Solanales; Solanaceae. The record is from RNAcentral.
AAAAAAACCCUUAUGAGACCUCCAACCAAAAAUUCUUGAAUAAGAGGCAAAUUAAAAUAAGGGCAAGCCUAUGGUAUGACAUGUUGUAGCACUUGAAAUUCUUUUUGAGAGUGAGUGUGUUUGUAAAUGAUCCCUCUUUGCUGUCUUUGUAAAUAUUGUGAUUUUAGGACUUUCUUUCUUGUAAGGGUAUAUGAACUGUGGAAUUGAACUGAAGUUGAGCUCUUUGAGUCAGUUGAACGUGCACUCAGCUGAGGGUAGCAUCUAAUCACAAUGUUGAGGCUCUGAAUUCACAUGAUUGAUUAGUUUUUUCUGUGCAUACUUCUAAUCUAGGAAGGGUGAAGCAAUUGUAAAUGCAUGCUCGAAAAACUAGCAAUGAACACCAUCCUGAGUCACUAUUGUUUCGUAUUUGUAAAUAGAGUUAAGAAUAGGCUGAGUAUGUUUUGCUUGCAUGAGGACAAGCAAGAGUUUAAGUUGGGGGUGUUGAUGUGCCGGAGAAUUUCGGCACAUUUCAAUUCUAAUUGCUUAGAUUCUAGCUUGUUUUAAUGUAAUUAUAAUUGAUACUCAUGUAGAUUUUUUGUUCCUACAGAACAAGAGGAAAGGAAGACCGAGGAUAUGAAAAUGGACGCAAAAAGAGAAGAAAAGAGCAUGAUAUGGCACAAAUGCACAUCUGCGGUCUAGUUUGGAGUUGCAGAACACACAUGCGGACCGCAUACUCGUCUCUCACAUAGCAGAGCGUUACAGGGUUUGGAGCAAAAAAUCAUAUCAAGAAUGCGGCACAAUCUGCGAUCGCAGAAUCAACAUGCGGACCGCAGAUGCGCCGCAAAAUGAAUAAGAAGAAACUCAAGGUCAAAGAUGCGAUGCAAAUCUGCGGUCGCAUAACUCAGUUGCGGACCGCAGAAUGGACCUGCGAUGAAGGCCUGGCACCUAGGGUUUUGGAUCUGCGGAGAGGCUGUUCAAAAUGCAGACCGCAGACCUGUUAUGUGACAAGUCUGCGAUCGCAGAUGUGACCUGGAAGGGCAAAUUUGUCCAUUUUAUGUCCCGAAAUUGGUCCACCUAUAAGUAAUUUUAAGAGACCUUUGUGGGCUCAUCUUGUCUUACCUUUUAGCUACACUCCAAGACAUUAAUAUUCCCUCUUUUCUGGAAGCUUUUGG